AUUGAACGCUGGCGGCAGGCCUAACACAUGCAAGUCGAGCGGAUGAAGGGAGCUUGCUCCUGGAUUCAGCGGCGGACGGGUGAGUAAUGCCUAGGAAUCUGCCUGGUAGUGGGGGAUAACGUCCGGAAACGGGCGCUAAUACCGCAUACGUCCUGAGGGAGAAAGUGGGGGAUCUUCGGACCUCACGCUAUCAGAUGAGCCUAGGUCGGAUUAGUUAGUUGGUGGGGUAAAGGCCUACCAAGGCGACGAUCCGUAACUGGUCUGAGAGGAUGAUCAGUCACACUGGAACUGAGACACGGUCCAGACUCCUACGGGAGGCAGCAGUGGGGAAUAUUGGACAAUGGGCGAAAGCCUGAUCCAGCCAGGCCGCGUGUGUGAAGAAGGUCUUCGGAUUGUAAAGCACUUUAAGUUGGGAGGAAGGGCAGUAAGUUAAUACCUUGCGGUUUUGACGUUACCAACAGAAUAAGCACCGGCUAACUACGUG
Molecule: ribosomal RNA, 484 nt
Filed under: uncultured bacterium
Lineage: Bacteria
Description: partial 16S ribosomal RNA
Rfam family: Bacterial small subunit ribosomal RNA
Source: RNAcentral